CUAUACAUUAUAAAAUAUGUACGUAUUUACUUGGAUUCCUUAAAGACAAUAGCAUAACAGAAUAGAAUAAAAUAGCUUAUGUUGCCUGAAGCAAAACUUGACAAAAAUGUUUAUGUUUAUUAUACCAUAAUCACCACACAUACAUAGUUCGUAUAUUUAGAAUCUUACUGACAAAAUGAAUACAAGUACAUUUUGUAUUUGAAAAAUAUAUGAUGCCGGACUGAAGUUGUAGAAUUUAGGUGAGUAGAUAGGGCUAUGAGUAUAUCUGAUAGUGAUCUGGCUUCACUUUAGAUCACAAAACAUUACUUAAGUUUAUACUUUUGUAGGGUUUAAUGUUAAUUUCCACAGGUUUAUAACUUAGAUGAACAAAAAUAAAAGAAGAAAUUAUACCUUCAUUUAGAUCAGGGAGUGUACUCCAUGAAUUUAAUUAAACUUUCCUUUAAAGUAAGUUUUACAUUGUUUUCCAUUCAAUAUGAAGAAUCAAAUUUUUAAAGUGUUGAAAAAAAUGUGUUUGGUAAGAAUAGAACAAUUCUGAUGUAACUAAAGAAAUUAAGUAUACAUGAAUAUUUGGGCACUGGUAAACUUUUUUUGAAUUGUUCCCUUUUUUUAAAGAUGUCAUCCUGACCAGAGGCCUAAUCAGAAUGAACCAACAAGUUGUUCCUCACCCCUUUACCUCUGGCCGUGUGGGACUUUGUGGAGGCAGAGGGGGCAUGUACAAGAAUAGAAUUACGCUGGGUCCAGUAGCAGCGAUUUCUGCUGUAGCAUCCUAACCUCAAGCUUGCUAAAAUUAUGAGCACAAUCCCACUAAAAAGUCCUCCUGGUCUCCAUCCUUAUUGCAGAGAAGAAAAGUGCAAUUUUCUUAGAGGAGGACUGACUAACGGGGUGUGGGAUUGGUAUGCAAUCAGAGUUCUUUUAACCUGAGCUCAUGCUUGUAUGUAUUGGAUGAGUGCAUCUUUGUUCAUUCUUUUCCACAGGCUUCUAUAUCUAGGAGCUUAAGAAAAUCCAUUCAUCCAAACUCUAGUUUGCCUAAUAUCUCUUCUCAAUAUGGAUGGUGCUUGGCUUGAGUGAAUCAGGUGGUCAUUUUUGUGUAUAGGAAUUUAUCUGCAAGAGGAUAGGCUUUGGAGUAAGAUCUGGAUUAGAACUGCAGCUUUUCCUUAUUUGGAGCAUUGUCUUAGCUUUAGGAAUUUCUUCCUUACAUAGUGACUUUAAAGAUUACAUAAAAUAUCAUCUGACAAAAUGACUAGUACUGUCUCUGGAACAUAAAAGAUGCCCCAGAAUACAGGUUGAACCAGAAAUUUGAAUGUGUAGAUACAGUCCAAGAAAAAUUCAGAGCUGAGUGCUUUGUUAAGAAUGGUGGUUAUAACUUGAGUGGUGCCUGUGGUGGGGGUUGGGGGUGCACAGAGCCCCUCAUCAUCUGGAAAGAGCAAUGAGACCCUGCUUGGGGCUGCUGCCUGAGUCUCAGCUCAGAGUUGCACAUGUAACCAAACUGCAUGAAACUUGAGUCUUUUCUCAUAGCUGCAAGUUAGUCAAGAGUCACAAAACUGGACCUUUACCUUGAUCAGGUGAGGUAAUUGACAUUUUGUGACUGCUUUCUUAAUGCUAAUACAUAAUAAACAGUGCCAUCUACAACAACAACAAAAAAAAAAGAGGUUUACCAAAAAAGUUUUUUGAAACUGGAUGCUUAGAAGCAUGCAAAAAGAAUGAAAGUUGGCACAGAAAUCCAAUAGUUUUUUUUUUUUAAAACACAGAACCUAAUAUAUGAUAGAAUAAAUAAACAUCUGCUGAAUGAAUACACAAAUAAAGGUGAAUUUUAAAUAUGCAAACCACUAAAUUUGAAAAUAAGUAAUUCCAAGUUUACUCCUAACCCUUCCUUUUUUUUUCUUUUGAGAAUAAAAAGUUCAAGUGACUUUAAAGAGUGAAGGGCACUCUAAAACAAUCCAUCUUUAUGUUCACAUAUGUUAAAGAAGAACCUACUGGACAUAUACCAUUAUGGAAUGUAGCUUAAAGUAUAAAUCUCUAAUAAUAUCUGUUUCUUGUAUAAUUUUUUAAAUACAAAUUCUAGCGUAGUCACAUAUUUAUUCAUGGAAUAGUUUAUCAUUUCUUAUGGUACAAAUAUUUACUUAGAAUAUUUUCCUGAACAAUGUAGUCAGUUGUUUACCAAACCUGUCCUUUUACUGUCUUAUGCAAAAAGAUAUGUUUUCAGACAUCCUUGUAAGUUUGGGCUUAGUCAAGACAGCCAAUGUAUGUAGGCCAACAAAAAUGAGUGCCUCAGCUGUAGGCUUUGUGUUGACCUGUUAACCUGAAUUUCAUUUCAGACUACUUUUGUAUUUAAACUUAAAUUCUAUAACCUAUAUACACACGUGGGAUUAAUUCUCAUUUGAGAAUUAUCAUCCUACUUUAGAAUAACUGUAGCAGCAAAAAUAGGUGUUCAUUUCAGCCAUCAACUUUUUUUCAAGACGUGGAACUUGUCUUCUUGAGAGUUCUUCUGUACAGCUCAGGGAAGAGUCAACUUAAAGUGAUACCAAUAGGAGUUUGCAGAGAUGUCACUUCAUAAUGGAUGGUGGCAUCUGUGGAGUUCCUUUAUUCUCUGGCAUUCAUAAAAAUUAUAGCACAAUCUAUAUACAUUUUAAGUGCCAAUAUAAAUAUAAAAACUUUCUAAAUGAUAUUUUCCUAGUGGAUACAAUUCAUAUAAAUCUUAGUGAUUCAAAAUAAAACCAGGUGAUCCUAAUACUUUCUUUGUGGUAUAAAACUUAUGUAUUAGAAACAUUUUAAAAAUGCAGAGUCACCUCAAACUAAAAAUAAGUAAAUGAAGCAGAUCAAAUUUUUAGAGCUGCCAACAUAUUAGCCCACUUAUAAGUCACUUAUAAAGUAAAAAAAUGCCUAUUGCAUGUCCAACUUGCUAGUACAUCUAUAAAGAUUAGAAAGGGUAUUAUCUUUCUAGGAAAUAUACAUUAAAUUUAAUGCAAAAAAACUCCUAUUUCACUAUUGAUUUUCUUCAUUGUACUUUGAAUUUAAGACCCUAAAGAACCUUUCUGUAACACUAAAUUGAAUUUUGCCUGUUUUUUGUCCUAGGAAAAUUGAUGGUGAUUUUAAGCCACUAUUCAAAUAUCUGUCUUAAAAGCAUUCAUUUUUUUUUUUGGUAGCUUGAUAACAUAAUAAAUACUUUAACCAAAGUAAUGAAAUGAAGAUGAUAUACUUAUCUUUGUUUCUACAGUGUUGUAUGAUCUGGUAAAGUACACUUGCAGAAAUUAUCCUGCUGAAUAAACACAUAAUAAACUUAUAUCCAAGUGUUUUUGGAUGAUAAACAUUUCUCAGAGAAGUACGUUUAUUUUAAAGAUGUUUUCUGAUUAUUUUAAAAACAUGUGACUUUCUCUUUUUAGGAACUUUUUGAAAAAAUCUUUGCUAGCAUAGAGCUUUUUCAAGUAAAAGGCACAGAUUUACCCUUCAAGGGUUUCCUUUCCCACUGUCUGGUGUAAAGGACUUAUAAGGACAAAUUUAACUAUAGUAUGGGAGAACUUGAGAUAAAGAAUUUCCACAGAGAAACAAGAGGAUAGUGAUGUCCGACUUUUAUUUACUUCAAAAAAUAAUGUAUCACCUCACAGUUUUUAGCCAUGAUUAGGACCCAAAGAUGUGCCAGUUAAAUAACAUACAGGAGCCAUACCUCACUCAGAUCAAGCCACAAUGUUCUAAUAAACAAUUUGCAUUUAUAAAUCUUCAGCAUGAUAAUGUUAAUAAUUUUCUUUGUAUUGUUCCUUUUUAGUAAAUGUCACAUAUUUUUAGAAUGAAUUGUGAUUAUCUUAUGGGGCCAUCAUAUUAAUAAUUUAUUUUAAUACUAAAAAGCACAUUAGCUGUCCUUCCUCCAAUAUUGGAAUGCCAGUUUUCAGUAUCAAUUCUCUCUGCUGCAGACACAUGCUUAUGUGUUUUGCACCAAUCAAAAUCUUCUCUUUUUUCUUUCUUUCUUUCUCUGCCUUUUCUUCCUCUGUUUCCUGCAGUCUUUCCCCCUCUCUAACCAGUUCCCUUCCCUGCCCUUAGUUCUCCACUGCAGAGUACAGUGAACAUAUUAGGAGCUUUCAGUUGUGGUUGGGCUUCUAACCUUGCUCAACUAUGUCAUUAGCAAGGGGAUUCAGUUUCUUGAAUUCAUUAAUAGUAUUUUGCCACAAAAGGCUUUGUAGUUCUCUCCUGAAUAUUGAGCUUAGCUUAAUAACAUUCCAUUUAUGUUAAAGACACAUUUAAUCUGUAAGUGUGACCUUUAGAAGAAUUCUCUUGUUUUUCAUUAAAGAAACAGUGCAUUACAAAUAUUAAUUAUUCCUUGAUGCCAUAUUUUAAUUAACUAAUCAUGUGCUAUUUGCAGCAAUAAAGAGUAUAGUAAUGUAUGUGCAGUGAUGCUAUGUAAUGCAAGAUCGAUAUCAAAGAAUCCAUUGCUGCAGAAAAGACAUGUUUUGAGUAUCUUCUCUGGAUGAGUUUGCUUAUAUGAAACAUUUAGUCUAGAAUGAUGCUUUGUUUUGCUUUGCGUUUUGUAUUUUUAAAUGCCAAUGUAAGUCUGAUUAAAAUGCUGAACAUAUCGUUAGCCCCAUCACUAAUAAGUGAACGUUCACUGAUGCAUAUUAGCAGGGUCUAGCAAUGUGGUGAAAUUGUCACUUAAGUGCUUGGAAUCUGAACACAGAAAAUGACAGGCAAUGCCGAAGGUCCGGCUCCAGUGCAUGUCUUCACUGUAGCUAGAGUCACUGGAAUGGUGAAACCAGUUUAGGUUCAAGGUCGCUGCUGACAUUCAGCUGUCAUGGCUUCAUUGUCUGCAGGCCUUCUCUCCAUUGACACAUUCAAGAGUACUUUAUAGCAACCACAAAGAGCCAGUCAAUUGAUACCAUUACACUUCAUGCACACACAAACCACAAGCCUGUUCAGGACUGUUGAUACAGUCUAACAUUUAUUCAUUAAGGGAUCUAUUGAAAAUGCAACUUGCCCAGCCCCACUCUUAACAACAUAGACUUACUUGUUUAGUCCAAACAUUUAGCUACGUCUUUUUCAAGUUUUGCACAGCAUUCUCUAAUUGAAGUAACAUUAUCUGCAUUUUAAUGCUACACCAUUUAUGUCCAAUGAAAGAUUACCUGAAGAACCCUGCCAUUACCACACUAGUUUAAAUACAGGCAGCCGUAUAGAAAAAAUAUACACAAAAGAUGUAAGCAGGGGGAAAAGGGAGAUAUUUAUUUGUUCUGGGAGUGCCACGGAAAUCCAAUUGCUCAGAAAUGAAAUAAGAGUCUGAAGUGAAAGGAGGGAAAACCUAAGCUUGGGUCAGGGAAGAGGCAGUGAUUAGCUCCAUUGUUAGGAGCUCUUUGAGCUUCGUUGGUUGUAAAGAAAAACCCACUAAUGAAUCUAUUGAAGCUUGCCAGAACUUUGUGUGGAAGACAACUUAAGUUAUGGUGCUUAUCUAAAAAAUGGUAGUAAAGCAUGUGGAUAUAUAAAACAGCACAUAUGUCUCUUGAUUAACAGCUUGC
This 5492-nucleotide long non-coding RNA is filed under the name Sus scrofa (pig). Its description in RNAcentral is "lncRNA (ENSSSCG00000063280.1)". Lineage: Eukaryota; Metazoa; Chordata; Mammalia; Artiodactyla; Suidae. The record is from RNAcentral.